RNAcentral lists this transfer RNA (122 nucleotides) under Salmonella enterica. RNAcentral describes it as "tRNA-OTHER". The stretch from base 1 to 73 matches the Rfam family "tRNA". From Rfam's summary of the family: Transfer RNA (tRNA) molecules are approximately 80 nucleotides in length. Their secondary structure includes four short double-helical elements and three loops (D, anti-codon, and T loops). Lineage: Bacteria; Pseudomonadati; Pseudomonadota; Gammaproteobacteria; Enterobacterales; Enterobacteriaceae. The record is from RNAcentral.
GUCCCCUUCGUCUAGAGGCCCAGGACACCGCCCUUUCACGGCGGUAACAGGGGUUCGAAUCCCCUCCAGGACACCGCCCUUUCACGGCGGUAACAGGGGUUCGAAUCCCCUAGGGGACGCCA